Molecule: unclassified non-coding RNA, 239 nt
Filed under: Hevea brasiliensis (rubber tree)
Lineage: Eukaryota; Viridiplantae; Streptophyta; Magnoliopsida; Malpighiales; Euphorbiaceae
Source: RNAcentral
GAAAUAUCUUAUAAAUUUUGUGGUAGAAGACCUCUAGCAAUCUUAAUUCUGCAUCUGGAUUUGACAACUCAACCUUUGUCUUUAGAUCAUUAAUUACAUCACCAACAGUAGAUUGUUUUGGUAGUCUGAUAGUGUAAGUGACCACUUCAUCUUUGGUAGCAUGAUGAAAAGCUACUUUUAAGGUUUUUAAACCUUGCAAUUCUGGCAAAGGAAUGUCCAGUACUUCAUAGUACAAAAUA